AGAGUUUGAUCCUGGCUCAGGAUGAACGCUGGCGGCGUGCUUAACACAUGCAAGUCGAACGAACCUUCGGGUUAGUGGCGGACGGGUGAGUAACGCGUGGGAAUCUGCCCUCAGGAGGGGGAUAACGGCUGGAAACGGCCGCUAAUACCCCAUAUGCCGAGGGUGAAAAGAAAUUCGCCUGAGGAUGAGCCCGCGUCUGAUUAGCUAGUUGGUGGGGUAAGAGCUCACCAAGGCGACGAUCAGUAGCUGGUCUGAGAGGAUGAUCAGCCACACUGGGACUGAGACACGGCCCAGACUCCUACGGGAGGCAGCAGUGGGGAAUUUUCCGCAAUGGGCGAAAGCCUGACGGAGCAACGCCGCGUGAGGGAUGAAGGCCUCUGGGCUGUAAACCUCUUUUCUCAAGGAAGAAGACAUGACGGUACUUGAGGAAUAAGCCACGGCUAAUUCCGUGCCAGCAGCCGCGGUAAUACGGGAGUGGCAAGCGUUAUCCGGAAUUAUUGGGCGUAAAGCGUCCGCAGGCGGCCCUGUAAGUCUGUCGUUAAAGCGUGGAGCUUAACUCCAUUUAAGCGAUGGAAACUACAGGGCUUGAGUGUGGUAGGGGCAGAGGGAAUUCCCGGUGUAGCGGUGAAAUGCGUAGAUAUCGGGAAGAACACCAGUGGCGAAGGCGCUCUGCUGGGCCAUAACUGACGCUCAUGGACGAAAGCCAGGGGAGCGAAAGGGAUUAGAUACCCCUGUAGUCCUGGCCGUAAACGAUGAACACUAGGUGUCGGGGGAAUCGACCCCCUCGGUGUCGUAGCCAACGCGUUAAGUGUUCCGCCUGGGGAGUACGCACGCAAGUGUGAAACUCAAAGAAUUGACGGGGGCCCGCACAAGCGGUGGAGUAUGUGGUUUAAUUCGAUGCAACGCGAAGAACCUUACCAGGGUUUGACAUCCUGCGAAUCCCUUGGAAACGAGGGAGUGCCUUCGGGAGCGCAGAGACAGGUGGUGCAUGGCUGUCGUCAGCUCGUGUCGUGAGAUGUUGGGUUAAGUCCCGCAACGAGCGCAACCCACGUCUUUAGUUGCCAGCAUUCAGUUGGGCACUCUAGAGAGACCGCCGGUGAUAAACCGGAGGAAGGUGUGGAUGACGUCAAGUCAUCACCCCCCUUACAUCCUGGGCUACACACGUACUACAAUGCUACGGACAAAGGGCAGCAAGCUCGCGAGAGUUAGCAAAUCCCAUAAACCGUGGCUCAGUUCAGAUCGUAGGCUGCAACUCGCCUACGUGAAGGAGGAAUCGCUAGUAAUCGCAGGUCAGCAUACUGCGGUGAAUACGUUCCCGGGCCUUGUACACACCGCCCGUCACACCAUGGAAGUUGGCCAUGCCCGAAGUCGUUACUCCAACCC
This 1383-nucleotide ribosomal RNA is filed under the name metagenome. RNAcentral describes it as "bacterial SSU rRNA". It matches the Rfam family "Bacterial small subunit ribosomal RNA". The record is from RNAcentral.